UACGGAGGAUGCAAGCGUUAUCCGGAUUCAUUGGGUUUAAAGGGUGCGUAGGCGGCUUUUUAAGUCAGUGGUGAAAUCCUGCCGCUUAACGGUAGAAUUGCCAUUGAUACUGAAGAGCUUGAGUACGGUUGAGGUAAGCGGAAUGUGUAGUGUAGCGGUGAAAUGCUUAGAUAUUACACAGAACACCAAUUGCGAAGGCAGCUUACUAAACCGGCAACUGACGCUGAUGCACGAAAGCGUGGGGAGCGAA
Molecule: ribosomal RNA, 250 nt
Filed under: uncultured bacterium
Lineage: Bacteria
Description: partial 16S ribosomal RNA
Rfam family: Bacterial small subunit ribosomal RNA
Source: RNAcentral